Molecule: long non-coding RNA, 1001 nt
Filed under: Homo sapiens (human)
Lineage: Eukaryota; Metazoa; Chordata; Mammalia; Primates; Hominidae
Description: non-protein coding lnc-LSMEM1-2:2
Source: RNAcentral
GAGGAUGUUGAGUUGAGGGCUGUGAAGAUUCAAGUCAGCUCCUGACCUUAUGUCAGUAUUAAGAAGGGCAGCAUUGAUCUUGGUGAACACGACGAGCAGUCCAGGAAAGGAGUACAAAGAAUAACGGCAAGCACUGGUCCUAUGUGGAGGGUGUGAAAAUGGUGUCAGGUGAAGAGGUAUCACCUCCAACAGGACCAUCAAGUUAGACAUCUUUUAAGGGAUAAGAGGUCCAGAGGUUAAGCCCUGAUGGUGGGUCACUGAGACACUGUGGAGGGAAAUGGAUAAGCCAGGAGUGUUGUGAAGAUGUAAUAAGGGCUGCACAUGUCAUAAUGGGAUCUAAACAAAUAGGAGGUGUACAGGGCUUGUGGGGAGUUGGCUGCCCAGAAAUCUGAGAGAAAAUAAGACAUGUAAAGUCCUGCUCACCCAUGAAAGUUUCUAAAUACAGGAGCUCUGAUUCUAAAAUCAUCUCCAUUUAUAUUGGUUUAUCUUUUUAAGACACUUUGUUGUUUCAGAGCUACCUUGCCAUGAAGAUUCAUUACCUUUUCUUUGCUCUUUUCUUCCUUGGCCAGCUGUCUACCUCAGGAACUGAAGAUGCUUAUGAAGUCAUUAGUAUCAUGGACUGUAAAAAUCAAACACUGUGUAAUUCUCAGAAUACAACUAGACACUGCUCUCAUGGGAAGGAGAUUGAACUAUGUGUCUUGCGUCUUGGAAAAAAUGCAAAGCGACUCACUAACCAUGAAGAAACAGCAAAUUAGGAAGACAGGAUGAUCAAUUUCCUUGUCUUAUUAAAAAAUAAAGUCUGCUUUCUUUUCUCUCUCCUUUUAUUCUCUAGUGACACAUUUAUUUAUUGACAGUUUGGACAAAAGUUUAUCAAGGAACUUUUCACGCUUAGGAUGAAUUACAACAAGAACCAACAUUUCUUUAGUUCCAGCAGCAUUAUUCUCUUGGAUUCACCUUUGCAAAGAAUUGAACAAAAUAGAAGCCAAAGAAGUAGACAGAAA